This 253-nucleotide ribosomal RNA is filed under the name uncultured bacterium. RNAcentral describes it as "partial 16S ribosomal RNA". It matches the Rfam family "Bacterial small subunit ribosomal RNA", at positions 524 to 776 of the family's 1533-position model. The record is from RNAcentral.
UACAUGGGGUGCAAACGUUGCUCGGAAUUACUGGGCGUAAAGCGUGCGCAGGCGGUUUUGUAAGCCAGAUGUGAAAUCCCCGGGCUUAACCUGGGAAUGGCAUUUGGGACUGCAAGGCUCGAGUGCGGCAGAGGAGACUGGAAUUCCUGGUGUAGCAGUGAAAUGCGUAGAUAUCAGGAGGAACACCGAUGGCGAAGGCAGGUCUCUGGGCUGACACUGACGCUCAUGCACGAAAGCGUGGGGAGCAAACAGG